This 629-nucleotide ribosomal RNA is filed under the name Lactobacillus sp. DumLac9. RNAcentral's name for it is "bacterial SSU rRNA". It matches the Rfam family "Bacterial small subunit ribosomal RNA", at positions 56 to 644 of the family's 1533-position model. Lineage: Bacteria; Bacillati; Bacillota; Bacilli; Lactobacillales; Lactobacillaceae. The record is from RNAcentral.
UGCAAGUCGUACGCACUGGCCCAACUGAUUGAUGGUGCUUGCACCUGAUUGACGAUGGAUCACCAGUGAGUGGCGGACGGGUGAGUAACACGUAGGUAACCUGCCCCGGAGCGGGGGAUAACAUUUGGAAACAGAUGCUAAUACCGCAUAACAACAAAAGCCACAUGGCUUUUGUUUGAAAGAUGGCUUUGGCUAUCACUCUGGGAUGGACCUGCGGUGCAUUAGCUAGUUGGUAAGGUAACGGCUUACCAAGGCGAUGAUGCAUAGCCGAGUUGAGAGACUGAUCGGCCACAAUGGAACUGAGACACGGUCCAUACUCCUACGGGAGGCAGCAGUAGGGAAUCUUCCACAAUGGGCGCAAGCCUGAUGGAGCACACCGCGUGAGUGAAGAAGGGUUUCGGCUCGUAAAGCUCUGUUGUUGGAGAAGAACGUGCGUGAGAGUAACUGUUCACGCAGUGACGGUAUCCAACCAGAAAGUCACGGCUAACUACGUGCCAGCGCCGCGGUAAUACGUAGGUGGCAAGCGUUAUCCGGAUUUAUUGGGCGUAAAGCGAGCGCAUGCGGUUGCUUAGGUCUGAUGUGAAAGCCUUCGGCUUAACCGAAAAGUGCAUCGGAAACCGGGCGACUUG